UUGUUUUAUAUAGGUGGAGGUUGGUUAGAUUGUGAGUGUUAGAUCGAUGAGAAGAUGAUGUAAGGUGGUGAGUAUGCACUUUGCAGAUGGAGGGAGAAGUUUGUGGUUUGUGUGUUGUUGGAACUUGGAAUGAAGUAGCAGGAGGUUUUGUUCUUUUGAAGGGAAGAAGAAAUGGUAUAUGGUAGAGAAUGAGGGACUUGGAUAUGAGAGAAAGAAAGAGUAUAACGUUGAAGAUGGAUGGGGUGAAGGAAGAUUUUAUGAAGUUACAGCGGAGAGAGUUAUGUAAUGUGAGUGUGUAUGUGCCUCCACAAUGAAGACUCUUUUAUUUUUUUGUUUCAAAGCUCUGAGCUUCUUCUUUUUCAUGUUGCAGUAGAGAGAGGGACGUGAGGGAUAUCUUUUGUGUUUUUGUCCGUUAGAGUCUUUAUUAUUUUUCUUUUUGUCCUUUUUGGCUCAGAGAGAGAUGUUGGAGUGUGAGAGAGUUUUCGUUUCUCUCCUUUUUGACCGUUGG
RNAcentral lists this long non-coding RNA (508 nucleotides) under Lathyrus oleraceus (garden pea). RNAcentral describes it as "Pisum sativum (pea) long non-coding RNA (PSAT_LNC040523)". The record is from RNAcentral. Lineage: Eukaryota; Viridiplantae; Streptophyta; Magnoliopsida; Fabales; Fabaceae.